RNAcentral lists this ribosomal RNA (409 nucleotides) under uncultured bacterium. RNAcentral's name for it is "bacterial SSU rRNA". It matches the Rfam family "Bacterial small subunit ribosomal RNA", at positions 505 to 916 of the family's 1533-position model. The record is from RNAcentral.
GUGCCAGCAGCCGCGGUAAUACGGAGGAUCCGAGCGUUAUCCGGAUUUAUUGGGUUUAUAGGGAGCGUAGGCGGAUGUUUAAGUCGGUUGUGAAAGUUUAAGGCUCAACCUUGAAAUUGCAGUUGAUACUGGACGUCUUGAGUGCAUUAAAUGUGGGAGGAAUUCGUGGUGUAGCAGUGAAAUGCUUAGAUAUCACGAAGAACUCCAGUUGCGAAGGCAGCUUACUGGACUGUAACUGACGCUGAUGCUCGAAAGUGAGGGUAUCAAACAGGAUUAGAUACCCUGGUAGUCCACACAGUAAACGAUGAAUACUCGGUGUUUGCGAAAUACAGUAAGCGGCAAAGCGAAAGCGUUAAGUAUUCCACCUGGGGAGUACGCAGGCAACGGUGAAACUUAAAGGAAUUGGCGG